This 5396-nucleotide long non-coding RNA is filed under the name Taeniopygia guttata (zebra finch). RNAcentral's name for it is "lncRNA (ENSTGUG00000028776.1)". Lineage: Eukaryota; Metazoa; Chordata; Aves; Passeriformes; Estrildidae. The record is from RNAcentral.
CUAAAGUGUCAAACUGGAUUUUCAAAAGUGUUUAAUUGCAGUUGGAGUUAAAAGAUGUAUCUUCAAAGGAACCUGUGAAGAGAAUUUUCCUUUAAAUCAGUGAAAAUCAGAAAAUUAUUGGAAAUUCCAUAUAUCAUCCAUGCUUUCUAGGUACCUAAACACUAUCUUUGUACCUGAAUACUGCUACAAGUCUGUCCAACAGUCUUUUGUAAAGGUUCUCCUUUUACCCUGCCAUAUUGAUGUUUUCCACAGAUUUUGCCAGAAAACAACUCCAAAGGUGUAUAAACUCCUCAAGAUUAUUUUUAAUUUCAAAGACGCAUUUUCUGUGACAGCAUGAAGUAUUUAAUCAUAUUUUUGAGCAGAGGGAUUGUGAAAGAUCAAAAAGAGGACAUCAACAGGUUGAAAGGGGUUAUUCCUGCUCAGCAUGACAAUGGGUGUGCACACAUAACACAUGUAGAUCAAAAGCUCAUUCUGACUUUUCUGGGACUUUACAUAAUAUUUUGCAUUACAAUAAAAACCAGUCUGUGUUUAUUCAGAAUCAAACCAGUAGAACAAAUAAAAUACCUCCUUUCAUGUGCUGCAAUCCUUCAUUUGACAUUUCUGCUCGUAUCUGUAGGACUAAAAAACUCCAUGAGGGAUUCCUCCUAAGAAAUGUGGUAAAUUAUAAGAUGCUAGAUAGCAGAAGAACAGCUAUGCAGCAAAGCCUAUCAGUUCUCAUGGUUUUAACCAUAAGCUAAUUAGGUUUGACUGUGAAGAACAUUGAACAGCACUGUUUCUGAAGAGAAGCCUGUCCAGUCUCUGUAAAGAGCUUGAUAAAUAUAGGUUACUUCAUCCAUUCACCCUACUUUGUUUCUGACAUUGCUAAUCCUGUUGCUGUAGCUAUGUAGUAUAUUUUCAAUUAGCUUUGUAAAGAGUAAUCUGUCAUCUCUUCUGUGGACAGGCUUGAGAGUUUGGACUUAGUUUCUUCCUAGAAAAAUUAAUUACUGUGAUAAACCCCCAGACAGCAAUUGUCUUUCCUGGGAGACCUUAAGCCUUCAUUAUCUCUAAGAGUGGGUUACACCAAUUGCUGUUUUCUUGCUAACUGCUUACUGUUGCUUGUCUGUGUUCCAAAAUAUUAGUGGCAUAACAGCAUAUUUUAUUUAUUUUCUUAGGGGAAGAGCUAGUUUUGAUACUCUAGCAGAUAUAUGCAUCUCCUGGUUGUGUAUCACUAGGAAGACUUGUCCACAAAAGAAUUAAAAGUGUGUUUUAGUAGUGGCUGUAGCAGAAAAGUACUGACUUGCCCAGUUCCCUGAGUACAGCAUCUUGUGGCUAACUUUCAGAGUUUUGCUGGUACUCAGACAUGAAGGAUGGCAGUCACGCAGGUCAGAGGUAGAAUCUUAAGUGUGGCAGAGCAGGAACUGCAAAUAGCAAUAAAACCAUUCAAAAUUGGCAUAUAAUAGAUUUACUUAGUCAAAAUUUAAUUUUAAAAAUGCUGAUGUGUAGAAGUAAUAGAAGGACCAGGAUUCAGAAGGAUUUGAGGUAUGAUUUAAAAUUACUAAACAAUAUUUUUAUUUUUAUUAAAUUAAAGCUGAAGUUUAUGUUGCUGCUUGAUGGCUAUUUACACUGUUAAUCUAUCACCACUAAAACUCUCAACUUUCUGCUUUCCUGUAUUAUGUUGAACAUAAGGGUGUGAAAUUGACCCUCCUUCCAUGUACCUUCUCACUCCAAAUUUUUUUCUAGGGAGGCUUAAAAUCAAUCAAAUUCUUAUGUGUCUUAAACUCAAAAGAGUGACCAAAUGCUUUAGACCGUAAGAAGAAGCAGCACUAACUAGUUGAGUUACAAGAACUAGUUUCUGGGUACGUGAUUCAGAUGAAAAGGGAUAGGGAUAUUUUUAAGCCUAGCUCACAUGUAAGUUCCAGAAGCUGCAAACUGUUCCUCAUUAAGUAAUUGAAAAAUAGAGGGAGGGAAGAGAAGGAAGUUCUGCCUAAAUAAAUACUGCAAGAGUAAAUAAAAUAAGAAAGUUUACAAAAAUGUUAUCUCAUUGCUGGAAUUAAAGCAGAUGGAAUUGAGAUUCCCAAUAAAUCAUAAUCCUGUAGCUGUUGGAGAAUCUAGUAGACUGAGAAAACAGGUUUCAGGAGGCAACCUCACUGUUUUCUGUAACGUGCUCAGACAGAGCACAGAGGAGCCAACUGCUGCAAAAGUCAUUCCAAAAGACUUGUGCUGAUGCCAUCACGUUGUAACUCUUUAAAGUGCUAGUGGCUCCAAUUAAGAGAACAGAAAAUGCAUGUUUCUUUUUUUAAGGGUGGACUAGUGAAUAUGUGUCCUUGCAACUGAGAAGCUUGACAUGUAAUGAGGUCUAGAAGUCCUCUGCUUUUUGUGCACAGUUCAGUUCUAUAUAACUGACACAUUAUUUAGGGAAAAUACAAAAGAAAACUGAGUGUCUGAAUUCUGUUGUUUACAACUAACAUCACUAACAUUUCUGGGUUUUUUCCUUUCUUUUUCUUCCUUUCUCUCUUUAGUUAUGACUUGUGUUAUAGCUUAGUAGCAAAAGUCAACACUUCGUUGCAAUUACUUCAGUAAGAAAACUCGCAUAUUUUCUAUUUUUUUUCAUCAUUCUGCCUUUUUAUCUGUACAGAAGUGAUUAGUGUAUCACUGAAAAUAUUUUUAUUUCUCCAUAUAAUUAUAAUAGAUAAACAAUUCUUUUUUAUCCUUUCUGACAUACAAAGCUUUUGCUUGGGCUGGAAAGUAAUUAUCCGUAAUGGAUUUUUUUAAAGGUAGUUUAUUCUGCUAGAACUAUUAAAAAAUUUGUUAAUUAAAUUCUUUGCAUUCCUGUGUUCCUUCUAACUCAAAACAACCUGAAGUUAUUACCGUUUAGAGCAGGUUUGAAGAUUUCUGUAGAGCUCUAUUAUCCUAUUAAGCCUUCUACUAAUAAAUCAUUUGGAAAAAAUGGGGAUGGAGGCAGGGAGUAAUGAUUAAAAAUAAUAAUGAGGGAGCAAGAAAUUUAAGAUUUAUAUGUCUAAGUAUUUCUGCAUCAGACAAGGUGUGGAAAUGUCCACUCAUUAUUUCAGCAAAAACUAGUUUGGAAGUCCUUGUUUUGGAGUAGGUAUUUUGAUCGAUUUCCAGCAAACAAUUGACUUAAAUGUGAGAGAGUGCUCAGUUGCAUUUUAGGAGCAUUGAACAUAUUCCCCUCAUUUUCGCCAUAAUGAAGGGAAUAUGUGCAAUAGAUACUUAAAAUGGCCUGCUAUAUCUGCAUAGUUCAAAAAUGAGAUCAAGCAUAUGGGGCACAGAAAUGCCACAGAGGAGACACAUAAAUGGCUCAAGAUUCAACAUAAAAAUAUUAUUCCCCUGAAUGUACAUUUCUAAUAUGAGAAUCUUGCAUACUCCUCUGUAAUCAUAAUAUGAACCACCACUUUGUUAAAGUAAUAUUUUUUUCAUGCCUUUGGGUCAGCUAGAGCUCACCCAAUAUGCCUGGUAAGGAAAUAAAAUGGGAUACAAAUUUGUGUUUCAAUGUGUAGAUAUUAUGCUUCUUUGUAUAAAAAAUUAAUGCACUUUUUAUUAAAUAAAAAUAGAGACAGGGUUACAAAAAGCUUGAAUCAUUCUUAAAAAUGGGGAAUAGAACAUAGUUCAUUCUCCAAAAAAUGCUUUUAUCACUGGGUCAGGGAAUCGAUUGUCCUCAUGAGUGUUCAUUUUUCCUCUGAUUCCAGUUAAUCCUCUAAUAUGCCAAGCAGAGAUGAACAAAUGCUUUAUCUAUUUUUAAAAAUAUAUUAUAGCUUAAUGUUUUUAGACUGACCUUAUGGAGUCAAAAAUGUGAAUUUAAUUCCAGUCAAGAGCAGAAAAAAUUUGGAUGCAGGUAUACAAUUGCCUAUUUAAAUCUCAUAACUGUUGAACUGUUGACUAAAAUCACUUGGCCUUGAUUUGAAGGGAACACUUGACCUGUUCUUUUGUCAGAGGAGACUUGGGCUGCACCCUUCAUGGGAGGCCUUUAAUUUAAGGGCUGAGUGAAGUGCAGAGUCUUUGCAGCUCAGAGACACUCAGAGAGGAGGAGGAUUUGUGCAUUUCCAUUAGCCAAGAAGGUUAACUUGGACCUCCCUUGUGCACCUCAGCUUCUCCUGUCAAAUGGAUGCAACAGGGGUUGGUAGGAUUCUGACCACACAGCAAAACAGGUGGGGAAGAGAGGGCAUUUUCUGCCUUUUCUCCUCUGCAGGAAAGGCAGAGUGAAGUCAUCGUGGCACAAACAUUAUCAGGCUCCAGCUCAAGCCAUGAGCUGGACCAUAUUAGAGCAUGUUUUUCAGCUCUUGCUCACUCUAUUGACUAUGCAGGAUUUUUUUUUUUUUUUUUCUGAAAUACAUGAUUCUUCUUCUCUAUUGUAUAAGCUGUGUAGCUCAGGGCUCUUGAUUUGUUCCUGCAUCUCAUUUCCUUUCUAGAUUUAAAUUUUAGUUUUCUUCAGAAGCUGUGGGAGUUGGACUUUUAAGUGCAAUUGUUGGAUCAGCUGUGCAACAGUGUAUUACUGAUGAAAAGAAUAAAGCUGCCAUGAACACCUCUAAAGAGCAAGUAUUGCCCAUGGAAUCAUAGAAUGGAUUGAGUUGGAAAAGACCUUAAACAUCAUCUAAUUCCAACUUUCUGCCAUGGGAAGGGACAACUUCUACGACAACAGGUUGCUCAAAGCCCCAUCCAGCCAGGCCUUGGGCACUUCCAAGGGUGGGGCAUCCACUUCCAGAGCCUGCUCAGCUUCUCUGGUCAAUGUAAUUUCAAUGCUAUUCCUUCUGUGGUAUAUAAGGAGCAAACAAACAGAUAGUAAUUCUGCAUAAUUCAUGAGUCUAAUGGCAACCGUUAUGAUAUUACAGCAUGACAUGAUGUUACAACUCCAUAAUCUACUGAUACGAUUUAUCAUUUAGUCUUUACUAGCACUUUCUAUAUUUUUAUACUCUAGACAGUGGUCUAAAUGUAUAUACAAGUGAGAGAAAAGCCCAUAUAAUUUCUUCCCUUCCCUCAGAUUUUUGCAUUUUGAUUUUUUCAGAUGUGUCUUAUUUUUUUUUUUAAUUUCUUACUGUUAAUGAAGUCAGUUUUUGUCUCCUUUUCUUGGAAAUUUCUAAAUUUCUCUUAUAACUUCAAAUGUAACAUUUUCUUUAACCUUGUUUUAGCUCUGAGUGGGUUUGGAUGUUCAAGAAAUUGUAUUUUCCCACUUCAUGAUGUGCAUAAGUGAGCACAUAAUUGUCUGCACAAUUAUCUUGUGUCAUAAUGCAUAUGCUUAAAAAUAGAUAUCAGUAGCUGACAUAAAUAGAAAUACUCUACAUUGUCUUCUACAACACAGAGAAAUCUUUACACUAAAAUUUACUUGUAUGCUACCAUUUGGUAUUUUUUGGGGUUUUUUCCCCUAUACAAUGUUAUUCCACCAAAAAAAAAAAAAAAAAAAAAAA